UAAUAAGUGUUUUAUGGCACUUUUUAAAUCCAUAUCCACCUUGUGUGCUAUGUCAGUCGAUCUUCUUCAUGGAGAUCGACCAAACAUCAACCUUUAUCUUUUAACUCUUUGUCUGAAAAAAUAUUAUGAAUAAACAAUUCAAAAUA
RNAcentral lists this unclassified non-coding RNA (146 nucleotides) under soil metagenome. RNAcentral's name for it is "partial internal transcribed spacer 1". The record is from RNAcentral.